This 242-nucleotide ribosomal RNA is filed under the name uncultured bacterium. Its description in RNAcentral is "partial 16S ribosomal RNA". It matches the Rfam family "Bacterial small subunit ribosomal RNA", at positions 15 to 244 of the family's 1533-position model. The record is from RNAcentral.
GAUCCUGGCUCAGGACGAACGCUGGCGGCGUGCCUAAUACAUGCAAGUCGAACGAGAGCGACCGGUGCUUGCACUGGUCAAUCUAGUGGCGAACGGGUGAGUAACACGUGGGUAACCUGCCCAUCAGAGGGGGAUAACAUUCGGAAACGGAUGCUAAAACCGCAUAGGUCCUUUAACCACAUGGUUGAAGGAGGAAAAAGAGGCGCAAGCUUCUGCUGAUGGAUGGACCCGCGGUGCAUUAG